GCCAGGCAAGUCUUAACGAGAGUGCGCCAGGCACCGAGCGAGCUAAAGUUGUUGGGACCCACUUCCCUCCUCGGAUUCUCCUUCGAGGACAGGCAUCGGUUCGGCCAGAACAUGUUCUUCCCCACGAGCUCAACAAUGGAGUCCCUCUUCGAAGAUCCGGUUUUCACGGAACUGUUGACCAACUCUAAUGGCUGCAAGAGAGGAGCAGGAAGCUGCAAGAGAGGAGCAGAGCAAUGGGAAGGAGCCGGACCAUCCCAUUUCAAUCGACGGUACAGAACCAGCUGUGGGAUUUGUUUCGAACAGUCGGCUGUUCUUAACUGGUACCCAUUCAUUCUCUAAUCACACUUCAGCCACCAGAUCGGGAAUCAAAUUGGUGUCGGAAUGACAUUCCAGGAUAUAGUAAUGAGGGUUAGCAAAGGUGCUGAACUAUGCAGCUGAUGACUUGAAGGGAAAACUGUUACUGGCCAUGUAGAACAAGAUCUGACCUCCAACGAUUCAGGAGUUCAUCUGGAUGUAGCAAGUUGCCCUGCAGAACAUAACUCACCUGUGCAAGCUGCAUCUUUCUCCUUUUCUGCAGGAGAUAGUGGUAGAAACUCCACAAGACUUUCAACAGGAGAGGGGUCUGGCAACCAGGAUGAAUCAGUGCCGUUUGCCUUACAAAUUGAACAGCAAGGGAAGGAUUCUACCAACCUGACCAGUUCAUAAAUUGAAGUUCAACCGUGGCCUAAGGGCCAAGAGAUGAUGAAUCAGUGUGUUACUCGAGGGUAGGAGAAUGAAGGCUCCCACCACCCAAAACCAGUCAGAUGUAUGUAUGGUUUAGUGUUCUCUAGCUCCACAACAAAACCAGUCAGAUGUUCAGGAGUUCUUUGUUCAGAGGCCAGCCAAAAACAUUUGAUAUUGAAGAAGGUCAUAGCAAUGGACUGAAUGGUGCAGAGCUAACUCUACCAACUUCUCAGCAUGGCUGGGAAUGUGGGCAACAUACCAGACUUGCUGAUUGACCUCUUGAAUAGCUGAAGAGAGUAGUUUCAUGUUGCCAAAGCUAAUUAACACGUUUUGCUGAUUGCCUGGCAUAGUAGCACACCAUACCUGAACUCUUAAUGGAUUUGUGCUUUUGGUGGAUUGUCAGUAACAUUGUUAUAUCCUUCUGAUGUGAGCACCAUCUUAAUUUGGUCAUGUCUAUUUUUAAACAUUGAA
This is a long non-coding RNA of Panicum virgatum (switchgrass), 1194 nucleotides long. RefSeq lists it as uncharacterized. The transcript has 5 exons. Lineage: Eukaryota; Viridiplantae; Streptophyta; Magnoliopsida; Poales; Poaceae. The record is from RefSeq and is a predicted model, not a curated record.